This 492-nucleotide ribosomal RNA is filed under the name uncultured bacterium. Its description in RNAcentral is "partial 16S ribosomal RNA". It matches the Rfam family "Bacterial small subunit ribosomal RNA", at positions 29 to 507 of the family's 1533-position model. The record is from RNAcentral.
AGUGAACGCUGGCGGUAGGCCUAACACAUGCAAGUCGAACGGCAGCACAGUAAGAGCUUGCUCUUACGGGUGGCGAGUGGCGGACGGGUGAGGAAUACAUCGGAAUCUACUUUUUCGUGGGGGAUAACGUAGGGAAACUUACGCUAAUACCGCAUACGACCUACGGGUGAAAGCAGGGGAUCUUCGGACCUUGCGCGAUUGAAUGAGCCGAUGUCGGAUUAGCUAGUUGGCGGGGUAAAGGCCCACCAAGGCGACGAUCCGUAGCUGGUCUGAGAGGAUGAUCAGCCACACUGGAACUGAGACACGGUCCAGACUCCUACGGGAGGCAGAAGUGGGGAAUAUUGGACAAUGGGCGCAAGCCUGAUCCAGCCAUACCGCGUGGGUGAAGAAGGCCUUCGGGUUGUAAAGCCCUUUUGUUGGGAAAGAAAAGCAGCAGGUUAAUACCCCGCUGUUCUGACGGUACCCAAAGAAUAAGUACCGGCUAACUUCGUG